Molecule: long non-coding RNA, 2503 nt
Organism: Thunnus maccoyii (southern bluefin tuna)
Lineage: Eukaryota; Metazoa; Chordata; Actinopteri; Scombriformes; Scombridae
Exons: 4
Source: RefSeq, a predicted model, not a curated record
CUUUUUUCCACCAGAGAAGGGAAAGCUACCCAAAGAAAACCCUCCACCAAGAAUCCAGGAUUUAAAUCUCCGAUUUUCCAUUAAGGGUACAACCCAGGCCAAAACAGCACAGGAUAUAUGGAGCUACCGAGGUUAGGUGCAAUGUUCCACCGACUGCCACUGUUUCUCAGAACAUGUAUCCUGAUCUGUCUGUCAGAGACGAGCAGAGCGGCUGUACAUUAGCAGCACGCUGUAAGCAAUUGCUGUUAAUUUACAGCCGGUUUUCAACACUAAUAUACUGUAUUGAUGUAAUACGGUUUUGUACUGCGGUUAGCAAUGCAUUGUGGGCUGCCCCAUAUGAAGCAACAGCACAGAGGCCCUAAACAGUAUGCUAAUGUUUUAAAUUACAGUAGGCCUACACUACAGUAUUUUUGCACAGAGAAUAUUGGAGCUUGAUAAGAAGUUUGAUAAUAAAUUGGCAUAGUCUUUUAAUACUAAAAUUACUGUUUUGUCAAAGUUCGUUUUCCAGUAGAAAAAAAAGUCGGAAAUAAUUUGCCAUUAGGAACUCGUGAGGGGAUUUUCUUAGAAACGGUCAUUUGAAAAGCAGUUUUUCCAGAGGAGGACGUACUUCCGAGGACAUGUGCUACACAUCAACAAGACGUCCUGCUUCAUCUGCAUCGAUCGGGGUUGUGCAUCUACAAAUUAGACGAACAAUGGCUAACUUGAGUGAAGAAAUCAAGGAGAUCAUCUGCAAGACCUUGCCAAAUCUCUCUGAAGAGACCCAGUGGCAAGUAAUUUCUAAACUUCAGAGCUCUGCUUUGGGGUCAAAAGAAGAUUCAAAAUAUAUACAGCAGGAAGACAAUGCUGAUCUGUUACCUGUUGUUAAGCUCCGAAAACUCCUGGAUGCAUUUAAAUUAGGUAAUUUAUGGUUAAUUCAGUGUGGCAUUUAAGUAGGGAUGCACCAGUCACACCAUAUAGCUUAUUAGCAAUGUACCCUAAAUCUUUCUUUGUGUUGGAUCUGCAAGCCAACCUUUUCACCACUGAGUAGUGCUUUGUCAGUCUCUGAGUCUCCAUGACCGUCAUCAGGCACUCCGCCUCAUUCUAGCCCAUCACAGCUGUCAGCCAUUGCAUUAUUGUCAAGCCAGGCAGGAAACAGCUCAAGUACUGAAAACAUGGCCAGAAACAUUCCAGGUCCCUAAGUUGGGAACAAAUGCCAGAAGAGAUACGUUCUGCAAUUGUAGUCGGCAAGAGACCUAAACCAGUGGAGUGACGCCAGAUGGUAUGAGUACUCGUAGAUGAAAUGGGGAGGUAUGAGGCUAACCUCACUUGCUCACAGUGCCUUACUGUGAUUAGAAAUAUCAUCAGGCAGUAUCCAAAGAGGUUUGCUGAUAUGACAGUAGACAGGUCACUUUUGGGUGGAGGUUAUACAGUACAUCACUUUUGAUUCACGAGAAAAACCACAUAGAGAAUGUGAACAGUGAAGGAAGCUAUGCACGCCACCGAGCUUCUAGAUCCAUUUCUACAUACAAGAUGGGGCCAUCCAACACUUAUGGAUGUACAAGAUUUCAGCCAGAGCUCCCUCAAGAAGAAACUAAUGAGACUGUGGAGCAGAAGCACCGAAGACUGGAGGAGAUUUACCGACAGGAGGGUGCACGUGGAGCUGAAAGAGCAGAGGUCAAAAAUCUAAAGGAGCUCACAUUCUGUCUACAAUAUCGUAAUAUAAAUGCACUUCUGCCUCCUGACAUUGAAGAUAUGAGAAGCAAAUGGCCUUUUCUUUUCACUCAAAGAUGCUUAUAUGCUCAUUUUGAGUUGCUCACAGACAUCAAUGUGCUUCGUAGCUUGGAACUCAGUGUGGAGGAAUGUGGGAGAGCCAUCACAGAAGACGCCAGGGGAAAACCUACCAACAAAGAUGUCAAGGAUGUCCUCUCUGAGAGUGAAGUUAAUGAGAUGGAACAUCGAAUUGUUCAGCUGCUCAUGGCACACACUUUGGACAGAGCCUAACAGAGCUGGUCCCUCUUACAGAUGCGCUUCAUUGGUAUCCAGAGAGAGGAACAAAGGCCAUCUUGGGCAAGGUUGUCUCCAAGAGGACGGGUGUGAUCGUCCAGAAGAAGUCUGCCACAGUCAAUAAACACGUCUCCACACUACUGAAGAACCUCACUGACCUUGAAUGGGACUUCAUAUAGGGGUUACACUGGAAUAAACCUAGGGAGAGGAACAAUGACCAGCAAGGUGAUGGUCAUCUUUACCUAAACAAAGAACAUUCCCCUUAUGCAUGCACCUACAUCACAUGACUCUUUUAAGAAGUAAAACAUGAGCCUACCAAUGUUUUUUUCCUAAAUGUUGAUAUUGAUGCAUAUUUUCAAAAUGUUCUUAAUAGUACAGUUUGUUUUCCAAAUGUUGCUAAUGAUGCAUAUUUUCAAAAUGUUCUUACUGAUGUAUGUUUUCAGACAGCAGAGAAUACAUUGCAGUAAAUUUAGAUAUUGUAGAUAUUUUGUUAUUUUUUAUUGUUGUUGUUUUACAUUAG